Molecule: ribosomal RNA, 439 nt
Filed under: uncultured organism
Description: bacterial SSU rRNA
Rfam family: Bacterial small subunit ribosomal RNA
Source: RNAcentral
AGAGUUUGAUCCUGGCUCAGAACGAACGCUGGCGGCAUGCCUAACACAUGCAAGUCGAACGAGACCUUCGGGUCUAGUGGCGCACGGGUGCGUAACGCGUGGGAAUCUGCCCUCUGGUACGGAAUAACUCAGGGAAACUUGAGCUAAUACCGUAUAAUGACUUCGGUCCAAAGAUUUAUCGCCUGAGGAUGAGCCCGCGUAGGAUUAGCUUGUUGGUGAGGUAAAAGCUCACCAAGGCGACGAUCCUUAGCUGGUCUGAGAGGAUGAUCAGCCACACUGGGACUGAGACACGGCCCAGACUCCUACGGGAGGCAGCAGUGGGGAAUAUUGGACAAUGGGCGAAAGCCUGAUCCAGCAAUGCCGCGUGAGUGAUGAAGGCCCUAGGGUUGUAAAGCUCUUUUACCCGGGAUGAUAAUGACAGACCGGGAGAAUAAGCCCC